This 368-nucleotide ribosomal RNA is filed under the name uncultured Sebacina. Its description in RNAcentral is "eukaryotic LSU rRNA". The stretch from base 1 to 122 matches the Rfam family "5.8S ribosomal RNA", at positions 33 to 154 of the family's 154-position model. Lineage: Eukaryota; Fungi; Basidiomycota; Agaricomycetes; Sebacinales; Sebacinaceae. The record is from RNAcentral.
UCGAUGAAGAACGCAGCGAAAUGCGAUAAGUAAUGUGAAUUGCAGAAUUCAGUGAACCAUCGAAUCUUUGAACGCACCUUGCACCCUUUGGCAUUCCGAAGGGUAUGCUCGUUUGAGUGUCAUUGUACUCUCACACUCUCCAAUUCGGAUUCGGGUUGGGGAGCGGUGGACUUGGGUGUUGCUGCUUUACUGUGGCUCACCUCAAAUGUGUUAGUGCAACUCCUGGUUGGACAUAGUACGGCGUGAUAAGUAUCUUCGCCGGCACCUCAGAAGAGGGUGGCUAAUCGGGAGCUCUGUGCUCCAAACCGUCUUUGGACAAUAUCUGACAACUUGACCUCAAAUCGAGUAGGACUACCCGCUGAACUUAA